AGUGAACGCUGGCGGUAGGCUUAACACAUGCAAGUCGAACGGCAGCACAGUAAGAGCUUGCUCUUACGGGUGGCGAGUGGCGGACGGGUGAGGAAUACAUCGGACUCUACUUUUUCGUGGGGGUUAACGUAGGGAGACUUACGCUCGUACCGCAUACGCCCUACGGGUGAAAGGAGUGGAUCUUCGGACCUUGCGCGAUUGGAUGAGCUGAUGUUGGAUUAGCUAGUUGGCGGGGUAAAGACCCACCAAGGCGACGGUACGUAUCUGGUCUGUGAGAAUGGUCAGCCACACGGGAACGUGAACACGGACCAUACUCCUACGAGAGGCAGCAGUGUGGAAUAGUGGACAAUAGUCGCAAGCCUUGUCCAGCCAUACCGCGUCUGAUAAGGAGGCCUUCCGUGUGGAAAGCCCUUUUGUUGGGAAUGAAAAGCAGCAGCUUGAGACCCCGCUGUUCUGACGGUACCCAAAAAAUAAGCACCGGCUAACUUCGUG
This 492-nucleotide ribosomal RNA is filed under the name uncultured bacterium. RNAcentral describes it as "partial 16S ribosomal RNA". It matches the Rfam family "Bacterial small subunit ribosomal RNA", at positions 29 to 507 of the family's 1533-position model. The record is from RNAcentral.